RNAcentral lists this ribosomal RNA (470 nucleotides) under uncultured bacterium. Its description in RNAcentral is "bacterial SSU rRNA". It matches the Rfam family "Bacterial small subunit ribosomal RNA", at positions 335 to 797 of the family's 1533-position model. The record is from RNAcentral.
ACUCCUACGGGAGGCAGCAGUGGGGAAUAUUGCACAAUGGGCGCAAGCCUGAUGCAGCCAUGCCGCGUGUAUGAAGAAGGCCUUCGGGUUGUAAAGUACUUUCAGCAGUGAGGAAGGCGGGUACGUUAAUAGACGUGCUCGUUUGACGUUAGCUGCAGAAGAAGCACCGGCUAACUCCGUGCCAGCAGCCGCGGUAAUACGGAGGGUGCGAGCGUUAAUCGGAAUUACUGGGCGUAAAGCGCAUGCAGGUGGCUUGUUAAGUCAGAUGUGAAAGCCCGGGGCUCAACCUCGGAAUUGCAUUUGAAACUGGCAGACUAGAGUACUGUAGAGGGGGGUAGAAUUUCAGGUGUAGCGGUGAAAUGCGUAGAGAUCUGAAGGAAUACCGGUGGCGAAGGCGGCCCCCUGGACAGAUACUGACACUCAGAUGCGAAAGCGUGGGAGCAAACAGGAUUAGAUACCCUGGUAGGUGA